GCCCCCGUUGUCUAAUGGUUAUGACGUCAGACUUCUACCGGCUUGAUGUUCCGUGCAGACGUGUGUUCGGUGAUCUGGAGGUUGCGAGUUCGAGUCUCGCCGGGGGCU
This is a non-coding RNA of Trametes elegans, 108 nucleotides long. The record is from the annotation of a GenBank genome assembly. NCBI's taxonomy places the organism in Eukaryota, Fungi, Basidiomycota, Agaricomycetes, Polyporales, Polyporaceae.